UUCUUGCUCAGAGUUUACAUAUU
This 23-nucleotide microRNA is filed under the name Tribolium castaneum (red flour beetle). RNAcentral's name for it is "tca-miR-3811a-1-5p". The record is from miRBase by way of RNAcentral. Lineage: Eukaryota; Metazoa; Arthropoda; Insecta; Coleoptera; Tenebrionidae.